CCUAUCUCUGCAUCUCCUUCUCUUUCUCGCCCUCUGAUGAACGUUUCUCUCUCAACCAUUGCGACGAGUGCUCCCUUCACACUACUAAACUCAACAACUCCUCCGAACUCUGCGUCUCCUUCGCUUUACUAUCAAAGCUUGAAGCAUUUGAUAACUGAAAGACACCUGAAAACCUAUAAAUAGAAGAGGGUUGAGACUGGAAUCUAGCAUCUCAUACACGGUCUUUGAGAUUCUCUUUCGUCAAACCUUCGAUCACUUUCCUCCGCUGCAAUUGCUACUCAAUCUGCUGCUCCACACACCGGCCACCAAAUUUUACUUUUAGCUGAGCAUUGCUGCCAUCAAAGCUUUCAAAACCAGGUACGCUUUAAGUAAUAGUUUAUAUCAAAUGCUUCCUUGCUAAAUUCUGUAUUUAACUCUAAGUCUGUCCAUCUUGUGAAUUGUAUUAAACAUAUGGAAACGACAAUCACCGGAGGGAUACAUACGGUAUACGGGUUUUGGUAACCAUUUCUUGAGAGGUGUCGGCAACUGAGCUUUUCCCAUGUGUAGAGACAAUGGUAGAGAUUCAAAAGAAAGAAUUUGUGACAAAUGGAGCCAUACCUCUCCAAGUAAACCGCAGAUCCAGUGAGCUGACUUCCUGAGCAGAGCUCGGAUCGUCAGUGUGCUGCAGAAAAAUGGAUAGCCUUAUCUUUCUUGCACCGGCUGCAGCAGAAAGUUGGACAAAUCACAGACUUCGCUCCGGUUCAACAAAUGUGUGUCACCAAACCUGUGUUAUCAGUUUCUGAUAAGUCAUAUUUAGUCUCAGCUAUAACAAUAUCCACCUUUGACUAAAAAAUCCAACUUAGCGCUACAGUGAUAUGUUUGUCGUGUUUUACACAAAAAUGACGUAAAUCACCUAGAUAGAAGCAGCCUCACGGGCUCUUGAGAGAUUCGAGUGACACCCUACAAUUUCACUCCCAACCACCUCACCUUCACGGUGUCUGUAAUUACUGAAGACGUGGCUGUGAAGACUCAUUCAAGGGUGAAAGCAUCAACAAGUCCUACAAACGGCAUGCCAGAGUGACAACCAUCCACCUGAUUCUGGCAUCCAACUGUGAGUGAAUCUUAGAAGUGUAUCAAGCCAUCAUUCUUACCAAGUUUUCUUCUCAUUCGUUACAAACUCUAUCCAAUAAGUUUUUCCCUUUGUUUCAGUUUCUCAUGUUUAUUUUUUUUUAAAUUCUGCAACAAGUUCCUGCUGAAGAAAAUAAAAGUUUCUACUGGGAGCAGUGUUAUUUUCAUUUUAGUGAAGGGAAGCUUGAAAGCUAUUUACAUAUUUACAAACAAUUGUCUGUUAUCUAUAUACUUUAUUUUACAUAGAUUUUAUACUA
Brassica oleracea var. oleracea is the source of this 1364-nucleotide long non-coding RNA. RefSeq lists it as uncharacterized. The record is from RefSeq and is a predicted model, not a curated record. Lineage: Eukaryota; Viridiplantae; Streptophyta; Magnoliopsida; Brassicales; Brassicaceae. The transcript is spliced from 5 exons.